This 523-nucleotide ribosomal RNA is filed under the name uncultured microorganism. Its description in RNAcentral is "bacterial SSU rRNA". It matches the Rfam family "Bacterial small subunit ribosomal RNA", at positions 9 to 514 of the family's 1533-position model. The record is from RNAcentral.
GAGUUUGAUCGUGGCUCAGGAUGAACGCUGGCGGCGUGCCUAAUACAUGCAAGUCGAGCGAACAGACGAGGAGCUUGCUCCUCUGACGUUAGCGGCGGACGGGUGAGUAACACGUGGAUAACCUACCUAUAAGACUGGGAUAACUUCGGGAAACCGGAGCUAAUACCGGAUAAUAUAUUGAACCGCAUGGUUCAAUAGUGAAAGACGGUUUUGCUGUCACUUAUAGAUGGAUCCGCGCCGCAUUAGCUAGUUGGUAAGGUAACGGCUUACCAAGGCAACGAUGCGUAGCCGACCUGAGAGGGUGAUCGGCCACACUGGAACUGAGACACGGUCCAGACUCCUACGGGAGGCAGCAGUAGGGAAUCUUCCGCAAUGGGCGAAAGCCUGACGGAGCAACGCCGCGUGAGUGAUGAAGGUCUUCGGAUCGUAAAACUCUGUUAUUAGGGAAGAACAAAUGUGUAAGUAACUAUGCACGUCUUGACGGUACCUAAUCAGAAAGCCACGGCUAACUACGUGCCGGCAG